AAAACGGCAUCGAUUGGGAGAGUACUUUUUACGAACAUAUCGUAGCGAAUCAGGGAUGGUGUAAGCCUGGUAUAUACAGUAAAAAGGAAAAUCGCCCAGGAGCUUCACACCGAAACAAUAGUAGGCUGUGACGAUUCAUUCACGUUACGAAUUUCAAGUGAACAGCAUUUGUCUGUUUAUAAGGGUGGUACCGCGGGUAAACUUUCUCGUCCCUACA
RNAcentral lists this non-coding RNA (217 nucleotides) under Anaerobacillus sp. RNAcentral describes it as "T-box sequence". It matches the Rfam family "T-box leader". From Rfam's summary of the family: Uncharged tRNA acts as the effector for transcription antitermination of genes in the T-box leader family. Lineage: Bacteria; Bacillati; Bacillota; Bacilli; Caryophanales; Bacillaceae. The record is from RNAcentral.